Molecule: ribosomal RNA, 2341 nt
Filed under: Clostridioides difficile
Lineage: Bacteria; Bacillati; Bacillota; Clostridia; Peptostreptococcales; Peptostreptococcaceae
Description: bacterial LSU rRNA
Rfam family: Bacterial large subunit ribosomal RNA
Source: RNAcentral
CUUACAAGCUGUGGAAGCACAUUUCUUGUGUGACCGCGUACUUUUUGUAGAACGGGCCAACGAGUUACGUUAAGUAGCAAGGUUAAGCACUUAAGGUGCGGAGCCGUAGCGAAAGCGAGUUUUAACUGAGCGUUCAGUUACUUGACGUAGACCCGAAACCGGGCGACCUACCCAUGAGCAGGAUGAAGCGAAAGUAAAAUUUCGUGGAGGUCCGAACCCACGAGCGUUGAAAAGCUCGGGGAUGACUUGUGGGUAGCGGUGAAAUUCCAAUCGAGCCCGGAGAUAGCUGGUUCUCCCCGAAAUAGCUUUAGGGCUAGCCUCAAGGUGAGAGAUACGGAGGUAGAGCACUGAAUGUCCUAGGGGGUAUUGCACCUACCGAAGACUAUCAAACUCCGAAUGCCGUCAUCUUAUACUUGGGAGUCAGACUGUGGGUGAUAAGAUUCAUAGUCGAAAGGGCAACAGCCCAGAUCGUCAGCUAAGGUCCCUAAAUGUAAGUUAAGUGGUAAAGGAUGUGGGAUUGCACAGACAACCAGGAUGUUGGCUUAGAAGCAGCCACUCAUUCAAAGAGUGCGUAAUAGCUCACUGGUCGAGUGAUCCUGCGCCGAAGAUUUCCGGGGCUAAAACUUACUACCGAAGCUACGGCAUCAGUAAUGAUGGGUAGGGGAGCUUCCCAUACGGGUUGAAGCAUGACCGUAAGGACAUGUGGACAGUAUGGGAGUGAGAAUGUUGGCAUGAGUAGCGAGAUGUGGGUGAGAAUCCCACAGGCCGUAAACCCAAGGUUUCCAGGGGAAGGUUCGUCCGCCCUGGGUUAGUCGGGACCUAAGCUGAGGCCGAAAGGCGUAGGUGAUGGACAACAGGUUGAUAUUCCUGUACUACCGAUAACCGUUUGAGAGAAGGGAUGACACAGUAGGAUAAGCUAAGCACACUGUUGGUUAUGUGUGCCCAAGCAUUGAGGCAGUCAAAGUAGGCAAAUCCGCUUUGAUAAUGCUGGGAUGUGAUGGGGAGCGAAAUUUAGUAGCGAAGUAGCUGAUUUCACACUGUCAAGAAAAGUCUCUAUCGAGGUUAAAGGUACCCGUACCGCAAACCGACACAGGUGGGUGAGGAGAGUAUCCUAAGGCCAGCGAGAGAACUGUUGUUAAGGAACUCGGCAAAAUGACCCCGUAACUUAGGGAUAAGGGGUGCCACCAUCAGGUGGCCGCAGAGAAUAGGCCCAAGCGACUGUUUACCAAAAACAUAGGUUUCUGCUAAGUCGCAAGACGAUGUAUAGGAGCUGACGCCUGCCCGGUGCUGGAAGGUUAAGGGGAUCUGUUAGAGCAAUCGAAGCAGUGAACUUAAGCCCCAGUAAACGGCGGCCGUAACUAUAACGGUCCUAAGGUAGCGAAAUUCCUUGUCGGGUAAGUUCCGACCCGCACGAAAGGCGUAACGAUUUGGGCACUGUCUCAACAACAGACUCGGUGAAAUUGUAAUUCCGGUGAAGAUGCCGGAUACCUGCGACAGGACGGAAAGACCCCAUGGAGCUUUACUGUAGCUUGACAUUGGGUCUUGGUACUACAUGUACAGGAUAGGUGGGAGGCUUUGAAACCAGGACGCCAGUUUUGGCGGAGCCAUCCUUGGGAUACCACCCUUGUAGUACUGGGACUCUAACCAUAGGCCAUGAAUCUGGUCUUGGGACACUGUCAGGUGGGCAGUUUGACUGGGGCGGUCGCCUCCCAAAAGGUAACGGAGGCGCUCAAAGGUUCUCUCAGUACGGUCGGAAAUCGUACGUAGAGUGUAAAGGCAAAAGAGAGCUUGAUUGCAAGACAUACAGGUCGAGCAAGGAUGAAAAUCGGACUUAGUGAUCCGGUGGUUCUGCGUGGAAGGGCCAUCGCUCAACGGAUAAAAGCUACCCUGGGGAUAACAGGCUUAUCUCCCCCAAGAGUCCACAUCGACGGGGAGGUUUGGCACCUCGAUGUCGGCUCAUCACAUCCUGGGGCUGUAGUAGGUCCCAAGGGUUGGGCUGUUCGCCCAUUAAAGUGGUACGCGAGCUGGGUUCAGAACGUCGUGAGACAGUUCGGUCCCUAUCCGUCGCAGGCGUAGGAAAUUUGAGAAGACCUGUCCUUAGUACGAGAGGACCGGGAUGGACGUACCUCUGGUGUACCAGUUGUUCUGCCAAGGGCAUGGCUGGGUAGCUAUGUACGGAAUGGAUAAGCGCUGAAAGCAUCUAAGCGCGAAGCCAACUUCAAGAUAAGAUUUCCCACCGCAAGGGUAAGACCCCAGAAAGACUAUCUGGUUGAUAGGUCGAAGGUGUAAGUGCAGCAAUGUAUUUAGCUUAUCGAUACUAAUAGGUCGAGGACUUGACCAA